GACUGCUCUGAUUUGCUCUGUGGCUGCCGCCCGGUGGAAUUUAACAAGAAGAAGAACUUCAUGGUUUAUUUGCUGUGGUGGAUUGUCUAGUGUCCUCCCCAAAUCCCUGUUCACCCAGAAUCUUAGAAUGUGCCAUUAUUUGGAAGUAGGGUCUUUGCAGAUAUAAUUAUAGUAAGGUGAGGUCACACCAGAUUAGGGUAGAUCUGAAGUCCAAUGACUGGCGUCCUCAUGAGAAGAAGAAAGGGUAGACAGAGGCACACAGGGAAGAAAGCCAUAUGAAGGUGGAAGCAGAGAUUGGAAUGAUGUGUCCACAAGCCAAGGGACAUCACAGAUUUCCGGGAGCUAUCAGAAGCUACGAUAAAAGCAUGGAACAAAUUCUCCCCCUGAGCCGCCAGAAGGAAUCAACCCUGAUUUCAGAUUUCUGGACUCCAGAACUAUGAAACGAUAAAUCCCUGUUCUUUCAAGGCACCCAGUUUGUGGGGGAUUCUCAUGGCAGCCAUAGGAAAGCAAUACAAUUGCUUUCUAGAAACUGUAUGCUUUGGUUCAUUCCCUCGUUUUGUCCUGGAAUCUACUCAAAAUCACAUGGAGUGUUCCUCUUGGUGUUUGAAAACGGAUGGCUACUGAUAAGAGGGAGAAACGGACAUGAGAGACGUCAGCAAUGCCAAAGCUCCCGUGGUUCCUUCUUCUCUGCCUCUUACACUUUGGUAUUUUCUAGUCAGCUUAUUCUGGCUGGUUCUUACUACCUCAACACUGGUAAUUCCCUUGACUGUGGGUGUCUUCCUCUCCAUUCUCACCUGCUGUCCUCCUCCAUGUGAGCUAGCUCCAACAUCUUUUCUACAAAAGUCUUUGUUCUUUAUAACGCUACCUUGUACAUAACCACAUGGUCCAGUUGUGACUCCUCGGCCUUAGCCCAUUAACAGAAAUUCGUAAGAAGGUAAUGGCUGUGUGAAUAAAUGAGAAUUGUAGCCAAAUAGGCUGCCGGGGGUACUUAUAAGUGUAAGAAUGUUCUUGUUGGGAGAAGUAAAUGUCAUCACAUUUUUUAUUGUACUGGUACAGACGUCGAGGUGUGUUGGUGGUUUGUCCAAUAUCUCGUAACUGGUCAGUGCCAGGGUGGAGAUGAAACCAGACCAUCCUUCCAUUCGCUUCCCUGCUGUGUCAGGCAGGGAUGGACUGGCCGUUAUUCCACAGAUUCCUGUGGCAUAGAUGCCAACAAUAAGGAUUUGUCUAUCAGGUUGGUUUAUCUGGGAAAAUUUUAAAAAUUCUGCUUUUCUUUCCUUUCCCCAGCCUCGUUAUUAAGUAGAUGCCAGAUGGUGAAUUGCAGAUUGUAUUUCAAUUUGUCCACUCGCUCUGAAAUUUUAUGACCUUGGUUUCACAUCCACAGGGAAAAAUGUUUCCAAAGAAGCUUGAAAAUCAUUGAAGGGAUUGAAUGUCCCUCCAGUAGCCCCCUGGGAUACAUCUAGAGGGCACUGUUGAAGAUGCUGUGCUGUCUUACUCCCUGCCUCCCACGGAUUUUUCAUCCCGUGGGAUAAGCAAAGAACACAGUAGCCGUAACAUCACGCAGGAUAAAAGAGCCAUAACGAGAGACUAACGUGGGUAAUUUGCUAUGGGACACUUGACACAGCAGGAAAUGGGGGGAGCAGAAAGUGUAAGAACAGCUGGAACACCUGGAGAAAUGCUAUACUUGCACCAGACUGUGGAUUCAACAUCUUCAUUUUGUUUGCUACCUGGUAUUUGUUAUCUCUCUUCUGAUGUGUUAAGGUUGUUUUCGUUUUCGUUUUUGUUUUUGUUUUCCCUAACUUCAUGUCAAGCUUCUGGAUGGAAGGAAUGGUAUUUUGCCUCAUUUUAUCCC
Molecule: long non-coding RNA, 1849 nt
Organism: Neofelis nebulosa (Clouded leopard)
Lineage: Eukaryota; Metazoa; Chordata; Mammalia; Carnivora; Felidae
Exons: 3
Source: RefSeq, a predicted model, not a curated record